RNAcentral lists this ribosomal RNA (253 nucleotides) under uncultured bacterium. RNAcentral describes it as "partial 16S ribosomal RNA". It matches the Rfam family "Bacterial small subunit ribosomal RNA", at positions 524 to 776 of the family's 1533-position model. The record is from RNAcentral.
UACAGAGGGGGCAAGCGUUGUUCGGAAUUACUGGGCGUAAAGGGCGCGUAGGCGGCCUUCUAAGUCGAACGUGAAAUCCCCGGGCUCAACCCGGGAACUGCAUCCGAUACUGGAAGGCUUGAAUCCGGGAGAGGGAUGCGGAAUUCCAGGUGUAGCGGUGAAAUGCGUAGAUAUCUGGAGGAAUACCGGUGGCGAAGGCGGCAUCCUGGACCGACAUUGACGCUGAGGAGCGAAAGCUAGGGGAGCAAACGGG